Molecule: small nuclear RNA, 325 nt
Filed under: Oryctolagus cuniculus (rabbit)
Lineage: Eukaryota; Metazoa; Chordata; Mammalia; Lagomorpha; Leporidae
Description: 7SK RNA
Rfam family: 7SK RNA
About the family: 7SK was discovered as an abundant small nuclear RNA in the mid-70s but a possible function has only recently been suggested. Two independent studies have found that 7SK RNA binds the CDK9/cyclin T complex (known as elongation factor P-TEFb). P-TEFb activates transcription by phosphorylating the C-terminal domain of RNA polymerase II.
Source: Rfam by way of RNAcentral
GGAUGUGAGGGUGAUCUGGCUGCGGCAUCUGUCACCCCAUUGACAGGGUUAAUUCGGCCGAUCUGGCUGGCUAGGGUGGGUGUCUCCUUCUUCCCUCACUGCUCCAUGUCCGCUCCUCCUGAAGCUCCGUGCUUGGUCGAAGAGGAUGACCUUCCCUACUAGAGAGGACCGGUCUUCAGUCAUGGUUGUGCAAGUGGUUGUGCUCCCCUGCUAGAACCUUCAAACAAGCUCUCAAAGGGAGACUUGUUCUUGUCUUUUGCUAGUAAAUUUUGCUUCAUUAAAAUCACACUGUUAUUUUACUUUAAUGAGUAAUGCUUUAAAAUAC